RNAcentral lists this unclassified non-coding RNA (233 nucleotides) under Ascomycota sp. RNAcentral's name for it is "partial contains small subunit ribosomal RNA, internal transcribed spacer 1, and 5.8S ribosomal RNA". The stretch from base 1 to 47 matches the Rfam family "Eukaryotic small subunit ribosomal RNA", at positions 1785 to 1831 of the family's 1831-position model. The record is from RNAcentral. Lineage: Eukaryota; Fungi; Ascomycota.
AAAGUCGUAACAAGGUUUCCGUAGGUGAACCUGCGGAAGGAUCAUUACAGAGUUCAUGCCCUAACGGGUAGACCUCCCACCCUUGAAUAUUUUACCUUUGUUGCUUUGGCGGGACGCUUCGUCCACCGGCUUCGGCUGGUGAGUGCCCGCCAGAGGACCCUAAACUCUGAAUUUAUUGUCGUCUGAGUACUAUAUAAUAGUUAAAACUUUCAACAACGGAUCUCUUGGUUCUG